GACGAACGCUGGCGGCGUGCUUAACACAUGCAAGUCGAACGAUGAUGCCAGCUUGCUGGUGGAUUAGUGGCGAACGGGUGAGUAACACGUGAGCAACCUGCCCCUGACUUCGGGAUAACCGCGGGAAACCGUGGCUAAUACCGGAUAUGACGCGCUAUCGCAUGGUGGUGUGUGGAAAGAUUUAUCGGUUGGGGAUGGGCUCGCGGCCUAUCGGCUUGUUGGUGGGGUGAUGGCCUACCAAGGCGACGACGGGUAGCCGGCCUGAGAGGGUGACCGGCCACACUGGGACUGAGACACGGCCCAGACUCCUACGGGAGGCAGCAGUGGGGAAUAUUGCACAAUGGGCGCAAGCCUGAUGCAGCGACGCCGCGUGAGGGAUGACGGCCUUCGGGUUGUAAACCUCUUUCAGUAGGGAAGAAGGCCUUCGGGUUGACGGUACCUGCAGAAGAAGCGCCGGCUAACUACGUG
RNAcentral lists this ribosomal RNA (468 nucleotides) under uncultured bacterium. Its description in RNAcentral is "partial 16S ribosomal RNA". It matches the Rfam family "Bacterial small subunit ribosomal RNA", at positions 28 to 507 of the family's 1533-position model. The record is from RNAcentral.